GAAAAAUAAACGAUUACGGAUUGAGGGUUCACGCCUGGAAAGCGUGUAACCGGCAAAACCGGUUCGGGGGUUCGAAUCCCCCUCUUUCCG
This 90-nucleotide transfer RNA is filed under the name Segatella copri. RNAcentral describes it as "tRNA-OTHER". It matches the Rfam family "tRNA". From Rfam's summary of the family: Transfer RNA (tRNA) molecules are approximately 80 nucleotides in length. Their secondary structure includes four short double-helical elements and three loops (D, anti-codon, and T loops). The record is from RNAcentral. Lineage: Bacteria; Pseudomonadati; Bacteroidota; Bacteroidia; Bacteroidales; Prevotellaceae.